UACGUAGGGUGCAAGCGUUAAUCGGAAUCACUGGGCUUAAAGGGCGCGUAGGCGGGCUAUCAAGUCCGGGGUGAAAUCCUCCCGCUCAACGGGAGAACUGCCUCGGAUACUGAUGGUCUCGAGGGGGAUAGGGGCACACGGAACUGUGGGUGGAGCGGUGAAAUGCGUUGAUAUCCAUAGGAACUCCGGUGGCGAAAGCGGUGUGCUGGAUCCCUUCUGACGCUGAGGCGCGAAAGCCAGGGGAGCGAACAGG
Molecule: ribosomal RNA, 253 nt
Filed under: uncultured bacterium
Lineage: Bacteria
Description: partial 16S ribosomal RNA
Rfam family: Bacterial small subunit ribosomal RNA
Source: RNAcentral